GUGACAUUGCAGGCGGGUUGCAGAUCCGCAGCGAAGAGACCGUGUUCACGCAUGCACACAUGGAUGCACACACGCACGCCCGGGUGCACACCCUACGGCCCUGAUUAAGAAGAGAAAAACAACCAGGAAUUUAGGAAUACAGGCAAUGCUGAGCAUCUCAAAGUGCGGUUCAAACUUGGGCAAGCCUCGCCUCUUCACCAAGGACAGGAUGGUCCUACACAAGGAACGGGAGGAAGAAGGACUUUGGAGCUCCCGGGGCAGCAGGCUGAGGGAGGUCACUACGGGGAAGGUGCCUUUGGCCAAGCCGCUUCCCUCGCCAGGCCUCGGUUUCUCCGUCUGUGGAAUGGGGAUCGUGCCCAUAGGAGCUGGUCUCCAGGAGCUGCCAAAGGAUGUUGCUUGCUUCGCGUAAUUGCGUUCACCGAAUGUGGCUUUCCCUGAGUGUCUUCUUAUCGCUCUGCGAGGGAAUGAAGCUGUCUCUCUUGGAUGGGGCUCUCUGUGCUGCUGGACCUGCCUCUGCCACAACACGUAUCCUGUAUGACAAUCGACAGUGUGGCCGCUUCAAAACGCUCAUCCCUCUGCUUGAAGGACGUCUGGCUUGUGGUGCAAAUGAUAAUGUGUGGCUUUUAAGACUGCGUCAACCGUGGCCAUGCAGCUUCUGCUGUGAUCUCUAGAAGUAUUGCUCUAGGAGCCCUAAGCCAUCCUGAGGGACAUCUAAGCACCCUGUGACUUCCCUGCUCUAGAGGCACAUGUUAAAGGCUCUGGGUGACAGUCUCAGUUCAGCCUUUUCUUUAAUGCUAGCAGCAUGGGCACCAGAACUGGGAGUGAAGAAACCACUGAGGAAAUGGAUCCUUCAGUCCGCUUUCAUUCAAGUCGCCCCAGAGGAAGCCUCAGAUAUCAGGGAGCAGAGACAAGCCAUUCUGACCCUGCUUUUUCUGUAUUGCUGGCCCGUACACUCCACCACCCUCCUAGUUGUUGCUCGGCGCCUCUAUGUUUCAGAGUGGUAAACCACGUUGCGGUAGAUAACCAUAGCAACUGGCUUGUGUGUCUGCCUUUUCCCACUAGAUUGUGAACUCUUUGAGGUCAAGACUGCAUCCAACGCCUCUUCCUAUUACUUCUUCCCAGCACAGGGCUGACCCAGGAUUGGUGCUUCUCAGGGUGUGUUGAGUAAAGGAAUAAAAUCAUGUAUGACCUGUCCCACUAACAUGGCAGCCGUGUGCCAUCUUGAACCAUGGGGAGGGAUACGCCCACACCCGGAGCUCCAGGAUUUUCUUUUUAGGGAUUUAUCCUUUAGGUACCCGUUUACACUCCCAAAGGAGUACACACAACGAGGUUCACCUCAGUGCUCUUUGUAAGAGCCAAAGUAUCCAUGAAAUCAUUUAUAAAAAGUGUUAACAGGAACGGGAAUUGUGUGUCUGGGAAUGGAGCUGAAUUUUCACGAGCUAUACGAUAAUACUUUCUGAAUUUUGAAGUAUGUAUUCUAUUACCUCUUCUAA
Molecule: long non-coding RNA, 1493 nt
Organism: Mustela lutreola (European mink)
Lineage: Eukaryota; Metazoa; Chordata; Mammalia; Carnivora; Mustelidae
Exons: 4
Source: RefSeq, a predicted model, not a curated record